This is a long non-coding RNA of Antechinus flavipes (yellow-footed antechinus), 830 nucleotides long. RefSeq lists it as uncharacterized. The transcript has 4 exons. The record is from RefSeq and is a predicted model, not a curated record. NCBI's taxonomy places the organism in Eukaryota, Metazoa, Chordata, Mammalia, Dasyuromorphia, Dasyuridae.
AGCUUAAGAAAACUUAGGGAUGACAUAAAAAUGCCAUGAAAAUGACUUGGGGAAGAUCAUUUCUUUAUCUGCACUGUCCAAUGUAAGGAAUGUGAUUGGCCAAGCCAGAAUUGGAGAAUAUUUCCCCAACAGACUUUCAGAAUUGAGAGGGGCCUGAGAACAGGGGAUUCAUUACUGCUAGAGAUUUAGAACAUGAGCUAUCAGGAGUGGGAGGGGCCUGAGAACAGGGGAUUCAUUACUGCUAGAGAUUUAGAACAUGGGCUAUCAGAAGUGAGAGGAACCUGAGAACAGGGGAUGUCAGAACCGGGAAGGGGCUGAGAACAUGGAAGGUCAGAGCUGAGAGCCUGAGAACAGAGGAUGUCAAGGCUGGGAGGGGUUUUAGAGAUGGUCUAGUCCCCACCCCCUCCCCCAUCUUACUAAUGAAAUCCAGUGACUUAGUCCAUGGGAUGGAGUCUAUCAUAUCUCCAAUUCAAUCAAAUGCAGUCCAGCCGCUCCUGUGAACCCGCCCCCUACAGUUAAAAGAAUCAACAAUGUGCUCUUCAAAGGACAUGAGCCCUUCAAGGGGAGGAUAGGACAAAGCCAGAACCAGGAUUUCCAGGUUUGCAGAAGCAUACUAAGUAAAAUAAGCUAAGAACCCCAACCCACUCAGGAUCAAGAAUGGGAGGGUAAGAAGCCUUCUGUGGGUAUCGGAAAAAUGUACCCAUGUUAAAUUUUCACAAAACAAGUCCAUGGAUAAUAAGUUUGUAGGAGGAAGAAGUAAAAAAAAAAAAUCAAUAAUGACUACUUAAACACAAGCAGCCCCUUUGAUGGUUACUAUUAAAAGCUUGGAA